GGGGAAUAUUGGACAAUGGGGGGAACCCUGAUCCAGCCAUGCCGCGUGUGUGAAGAAGGCCUUUUGGUUGUAAAGCACUUUAAGCGAGGAGGAGGCUACUCUAGUUAAUACCUAUGGAUAGUGGACGUUACUCGCAGAAUAAGCACCGGCUAACUCUGUGCCAGCAGCCGCGGUAAUACAGAGGGUGCGAGCGUUAAUCGGAUUUACUGGGCGUAAAGCGUACGUAGGCGGCUUUUUAAGUCGGAUGUGAAAUCUCCGAGCUUAACUUGGGAAUUGCAUUCGAUACUGGGAAGCUAGAGUAUGGGAGAGGAUGGUAGAAUUCCAGGUGUAGCGGUGAAAUGCGUAGAGAUCUGGAGGAAUACCGAUGGCGAAGGCAGCCAUCUGGCCUAAUACUGACGCUGAGGGACGAAAGCAUGGGGAGCAAAC
Molecule: ribosomal RNA, 426 nt
Filed under: uncultured bacterium
Lineage: Bacteria
Description: bacterial SSU rRNA
Rfam family: Bacterial small subunit ribosomal RNA
Source: RNAcentral